This is a long non-coding RNA of Colius striatus (speckled mousebird), 728 nucleotides long. RefSeq lists it as uncharacterized. NCBI's taxonomy places the organism in Eukaryota, Metazoa, Chordata, Aves, Coliiformes, Coliidae. The record is from RefSeq and is a predicted model, not a curated record. The transcript is spliced from 3 exons.
CGGCGGCGGCGCGGGCGGUGGAGGCCGCAGGGGGGUGCGGCGGCGGUACCCACCUGAAGUCCUUGUCGCUGGAUGUCAUUUUCUCCAUCUAGGUGCUGUUCAUAUCAAAAGGGUUCAUUCACGAGAGCUGUGAGUGCCUGUCAGCGACCUGCGUGGGGCACCAGGUCAAUGAAUGUGCUCUCUCUCCCUCAUUUAUGAGACUGUCAGUAACAGCAAAGAUGAAAAAAGUACACAUACAAUUAUUCUUCCAUGAACCAAGGUGAACAGAGGCAGUUAAAACUAAAUUGGAGUGAAUGAAUCUAUGGAAUAGAAUAUAACUUUGCAGCGUCUGAUUUGGAGCAAAACUGACUCAUCCACAGAAUCCUCCAAGGUAAAGUGACUCAGUGACUCUACUCCUGGAGCAGAUGAUGCUUGUUGCCAGCCUACCAUCACUUGAACAACGAACGUAGUCUGCUGCCUGACAAGAUGUGUCUCUGUUGGCUGCCACAAACUGACUCAUGUUUUGAUCUUUUUCACACUCUUUAGACAUUUUACUGAAGUGCUGUAUUAGUCUUUAACUCACAUGCUGAAGCUGUACAGCUCCUAAUAUAUGAUGUAUUCUUUUCUUCUAAAUUUUCUAUUUGAGAAAUAAAUUAAUAAUAGUGACUCAGUACUCACUGUCAUCCCCAUUCUCACAGCAGAAAAGUCUAAAAACAUCCCCUGACUUCCAUACCCUCUGCAGGAGAGAC